CCUGGGAACUGCGUUNUGAACUGGGUGACUAGAGUGUGUCAGAGGGAGGUAGAAUUCCACGUGUAGCAGUGAAAUGCGUAGAGAUGUGGAGGAAUACCGAUGGCGAAGGCAGCCUCCUGGGAUAACACUGACGUUCAUGCUNGAAAGCGUGGGUAGCAAACAGGAUUAGAUACCCUGGUAGUCCACGCCCUAAACGAUGUCAAUUAGCUGUUGGGCAACAUGAUUGCUUAGUAGCGUAGCUAACGCGUGAAAUUGACCGCCUGGGGAGUACGGUCGCAAGAUUAAAACUCAAAGGAAUUGACGGGGACCCGCACAAGCGGUGGAUGAUGUGGAUUAAUUCGAUGCAACGCGAAGAACCUUACCUGGUCUUGACAUGUACGGAAUCCUCCAGAGACGGAGGAGUGCCUUCGGGAGCCGUAACACAGGUGCUGCAUGGCUGUCGUCAGCUCGUGUCGUGAGAUGUUGGGUUAAGUCCCGCAACGAGCGCAACCCUUGUCAUUAGUUGCCAUCAUUUAGUUGGGCACUCUAAUGAGACUGCCGGUGACAAGCCGGAGGAAGGUGGGGAUGACGUCAAGUCCUCAUGGCCCUUAUGACCAGGGCUUCACACGUCAUACAAUGGUCGGUACAGAGGGUAGCCAAGCCGCGAGGUGGAGCCAAUCUCACAAAACCGAUCGUAGUCCGGAUUGCACUCUGCAACUCGAGUGCAUGAAGUCGGAAUCGCUAGUAAUCGCAGGUCAGCAUACUGCGGUGAAUACGUUCCCGGGUCUUGUACACACCGCCCGUCACACCAUGGGAGUGGGGGAUACCAGAAGUAGGUAGGGUAACCGCAAGGAGCC
RNAcentral lists this ribosomal RNA (836 nucleotides) under uncultured bacterium. RNAcentral describes it as "bacterial SSU rRNA". It matches the Rfam family "Bacterial small subunit ribosomal RNA", at positions 613 to 1450 of the family's 1533-position model. The record is from RNAcentral.